This 166-nucleotide non-coding RNA is filed under the name chicken gut metagenome. The record is from RNAcentral.
GGGUGUCCGGCUCGGCCGGAUGAAAAGGGAACGGGGUGUGAUUCCCCGACAGGACCGCUGCUGUGUUGACGAAGCCUCCUCUGCGCGCUUGCGCGGCCACUGAUCCAUUGCGGAUUGGGAAGGCGGGGAUGGCACUGCGUCUGAGUCAGAAGACCUGCCCACAGAG